GAGGGUGUAGCUCAGUGGUAGAGCACAUGCUUAGCAUACACGAAGUUCUGGGUUCAAUCCUAGUGACUCCA
RNAcentral lists this transfer RNA (71 nucleotides) under Camelus dromedarius (Arabian camel). It matches the Rfam family "tRNA". From Rfam's summary of the family: Transfer RNA (tRNA) molecules are approximately 80 nucleotides in length. Their secondary structure includes four short double-helical elements and three loops (D, anti-codon, and T loops). The record is from Rfam by way of RNAcentral. Lineage: Eukaryota; Metazoa; Chordata; Mammalia; Artiodactyla; Camelidae. RNAcentral also lists the same sequence under 1 other name.